RNAcentral lists this ribosomal RNA (497 nucleotides) under uncultured bacterium. RNAcentral describes it as "partial 16S ribosomal RNA". It matches the Rfam family "Bacterial small subunit ribosomal RNA", at positions 28 to 507 of the family's 1533-position model. The record is from RNAcentral.
GAUGAACGCUGGCGGCGUGCCUAAUACAUGCAAGUCGAGCGAACAGACGAGGAGCUUGCUCCUCUGACGUUAGCGGCGGACGGGCGGGUAACACGUGGAUAACCUACCUAUAAGACUGGGAUAACUUCGGGAAACCGGAGCUAAUACCGGAUAAUAUAUUGAACCGCAUGGUUCAAUAGUGAAAGACGGUUUUGCUGUCACUUAUAGAUGGAUCCGCGCCGCAUUAGCUAGUUGGUAAGGUAACGGCUUACCAAGGCAACGAUGCGUAGCCGACCUGAGAGGGUGAUCGGCCACACUGGAACUGAGACACGGUCCAGACUCCUACGGGAGGCAGCAGUAGGGAAUCUUCCGCAAUGGGCGAAAGCCUGACGGAGCAACGCCGCGUGAGUGAUGAAGGUCUUCGGAUCGUAAAACUCUGUUAUUAGGGAAGAACAAAUGUGUAAGUAACUAUGCACGUCUUGACGGUACCUAAUCAGAAAGCCACGGCUAACUACGUG